RNAcentral lists this ribosomal RNA (482 nucleotides) under uncultured bacterium. RNAcentral's name for it is "partial 16S ribosomal RNA". It matches the Rfam family "Bacterial small subunit ribosomal RNA", at positions 30 to 507 of the family's 1533-position model. The record is from RNAcentral.
AUUGAACGCUGGCGGCAUGCUUUACACAUGCAAGUCGAACGGUAACAGGCCGCAAGGUGCUGACGAGUGGCGAACGGGUGAGUAAUGCAUCGGAACGUGCCCAGUCGUGGGGGAUAACUACUCGAAAGAGUAGCUAAUACCGCAUACGAUCUAUGGAUGAAAGCGGGGGACCGUAAGGCCUCGCGCGAUUGGAGCGGCCGAUGUCAGAUUAGGUAGUUGGUGGGGUAAAGGCUCACCAAGCCAACGAUCUGUAGCUGGUCUGAGAGGACGACCAGCCACACGGGGACUGAGACACGGCCCAGACUCCUACGGGAGGAAGCAGUGGGGAAUUUUGGACAAUGGGCGCAAGCCUGAUCCAGCAAUGCCGCGUGCAGGAAGAAGGCCUUCGGGUUGUAAACUGCUUUUGUACGGAACGAAACGGCUCUGGUUAAUACCCGGGGCUAAUGACGGUACCGUAAGAAUAAGCACCGGCUAACUACGUG